AGGUCAUUUUGAGGACAAUUUCUUAGCAACCCUUUAUAAUGAUCCUAUGCUUCAUAAAGUAAUUCACCCGGAUUUUGCUCAAAGUUGGCUAUUGCUUUCUUGAGUUU
Lactuca sativa (garden lettuce) is the source of this 107-nucleotide small nucleolar RNA. NCBI's taxonomy places the organism in Eukaryota, Viridiplantae, Streptophyta, Magnoliopsida, Asterales, Asteraceae. The record is from RefSeq and is a predicted model, not a curated record.